Molecule: long non-coding RNA, 337 nt
Filed under: Hordeum vulgare
Lineage: Eukaryota; Viridiplantae; Streptophyta; Magnoliopsida; Poales; Poaceae
Description: long non-coding RNA (HVUL_LNC003807)
Source: RNAcentral
CGAAGUGUGGGGGCACAGGAUCUUACUCAUCCUUGGGAUUCCAACGCCUUUUCUUACACUCACUGACGGCAUUGUCACGUCCACUAUCUCCACCGUGAAGCGUGCCCGGGCAUUCGCGCAAGGGUGUGCUGUCGGUUCCAUCAGAGUCGGCGGGCACGAUGGUCCCCUCUGUCCACGCCCUUAGAAGCUCGUCGUCCUCCAUAGCUCCUUCCCCUCUUUCGCCUCCUGCCACCCAGGCUUGGCGGGCACAACACAGAGCUCAUUAAGGUCGUCACCACCUCCCUCACCCAUUCGGAGUUUGUGGCGCGACUGCGGCAACGGCAAAGGCGGCAUGAAC